This 453-nucleotide ribosomal RNA is filed under the name uncultured organism. RNAcentral describes it as "partial 16S ribosomal RNA". It matches the Rfam family "Bacterial small subunit ribosomal RNA", at positions 330 to 799 of the family's 1533-position model. The record is from RNAcentral.
CGUACACUCCUACGGGAGGCAGCAGUGGGGAAUAUUGGACAAUGGGCGCAAGCCUGAUCCAGCCAUGCCGCGUGAGUGAUGAAGGCCCUAGGGUUGUAAAGCUCUUUCACCGGUGAAGAUAAUGACGGUAACCGGAGAAGAAGCCCCGGCUAACUUCGUGCCAGCAGCCGCGGUAAUACGAAGGGGGCUAGCGUUGUUCGGAUUUACUGGGCGUAAAGCGCACGUAGGCGGACUAUUAAGUCAGGGGUGAAAUCCCGGGGCUCAACCCCGGAACUGCCUUUGAUACUGGUAGUCUUGAGUUCGAGAGAGGUGAGUGGAAUUCCGAGUGUAGAGGUGAAAUUCGUAGAUAUUCGGAGGAACACCAGUGGCGAAGGCGGCUCACUGGCUCGAUACUGACGCUGAGGUGCGAAAGCGUGGGGAGCAAACAGGAUUAGAUACCCCGGUAGUCCCAUG